GGUUCCAUAGUGUAGCGGUUAUCACUUCGGAUUCUGAGGCCUUCCGACAACCCCGGUUCGAGUCCGGGUGGGACCU
RNAcentral lists this transfer RNA (76 nucleotides) under Thermochaetoides thermophila DSM 1495. RNAcentral describes it as "Chaetomium thermophilum var. thermophilum DSM 1495 tRNA-Gln". It matches the Rfam family "tRNA". From Rfam's summary of the family: Transfer RNA (tRNA) molecules are approximately 80 nucleotides in length. Their secondary structure includes four short double-helical elements and three loops (D, anti-codon, and T loops). The record is from RNAcentral. Lineage: Eukaryota; Fungi; Ascomycota; Sordariomycetes; Sordariales; Chaetomiaceae.